UACAAAAUCCUUUACUAUAUUCUAAAUAAAAUCCUUAGUUAACCUCAUAUGUAAAGGAAUUAAGACGGAUUUGUUUCUACGACAUUUAAUUUGGAAUAUUUAUGUUAACAAUAUAAAACGUAGCAGAUGACUCGGGUAGUGCGUAUACCUUCGCUAGUGAAUUAGGUUAUUUAUAUCAUGCAUAAAUUUUAUAAUCAUGUAUCCAAUUUUCAUCCAAAUUUAAGUUAACCAAAAUGUGAUAAAUUUGCCCUUUGGCAAUGUCAAUUAGUCCCAUAAAUUGUUUAGUUAAUACGUUUCUAAUAAGUUAUCAUGCUGACAGACAAACACAGAGACAGACACACACACGUACACAUACAAAUUAACAACCUCGUUCCCAGGCUCUUGAGGUUGACAAAUUAAAUGCCUCGAAAUUUUAUUUUUUUUCUUCCUGUAAUUGGUUUUAGACCUCUUUAGAAAUUAGACGUCGUCAAAUUUCUGUCGAACUUAGUUCGUUGAAUUUAAUGCUUCUAAAUUUUACUGGUAGGAAUUUCGAGGUCAAUUUCAGCCAAUAAUGUGACGAAUCCGUCGAAUACUGUACUUCGAAAACGUCGCACUUAAUGUUGCUGCGUAGAAUACUUAACAAUUAUUUAUCUAAGUGGAGGUGAAUAGUGCAAGGAUAUUCGCCAAAACACGAAUUUUGCAUAUAUCACAAUUCACAAAAACAAAAAAAUGACCAAAACACAACGAAAAUGUUUUUCAAACAAGUUGUGUUUCAGCUCCCGUAAUAGUUAAAAACAAAACAGUAUUUACACGCUUCUAGUAAUUUAUUCAUUAAAAAUUGUUUUAAAGAAUACCUCUUACACAUUAUUUUGUCCGCAGGUGACUAGUGCAGGGAUACCCGCAGCUGUGCAACCAAUCAAAUUGCGUGAAAAGCACUAUCCACCUAGCGCGGAAUACUGCUCAAAUUCUGCAAAAUAGCAGUUCUCUGAGAAGCCAAUCAGAUCUCUCUUUUAGUUAUCUAACCCAAAGCCUAAUUUUCAACGAGUGACCGAGUGAAAAUGGUUCUGGGGACGAGAAUGUAUCCACCUCCCAAGUAUAUGUUAAUACCAUUUCAAACGAUAAUUCUCUCGAAUAAAAAAUUUAGCAACACCAUGAAAUUCAACAAAUUAAACUCGACGGAAAUUCGACGUCUAAAACAGGCCUAAAAUCAGAGGUUUCUUGUGUAUUAUGCACCUUCUACAUCAUCUUUACGUCUUCCUCGAAUUUCGUGCUGAUUAUGUUAUCGUCGUCGGCGUGAUCGCCUUGUUGAUAUAGUUGCUGAUGCUGUUGUUAUUGGUAUCAUUGUAGCUGGAUUUUGUGUUGUUGUUGGCAUUAUAGGAUGGGAUCCAAUUGGUACCACGCUUACAAAUCGAUUACAAGUACUCCAAAAUACGGCAGCAAAGGUCAUCUUAGGAUAUAGAAAUGAGCAUGGUCAGUUUGAAGCCGCUUUGUCUGAAAUGCAAUUGAAAACGUUAAAAGAACGUAGAUUAAUCUUUAGGGGCAAGUUUAUGUACAAAAUUGCUCAUGCGCAAGCACCACCUGUUUUAACCGAUAUCUUUGAAGACUCAUCUGCU
RNAcentral lists this long non-coding RNA (1592 nucleotides) under Paramuricea clavata. The record is from RNAcentral. Lineage: Eukaryota; Metazoa; Cnidaria; Anthozoa; Malacalcyonacea; Plexauridae.